GUGCUCUGCCGAUCUACGACCUUCCCCGAUAGAGGAGGACCGUUCUUUGGUCAAGGGUAUACGAGUAGCUGUGCUCCCCUGCUAGAACCUCCAAACAAGCUCUCAAGGUCCAUUUGUAGGAGAACGUAGGGUAGUCAAGCUUCCAAAACUCCAGAAAA
Molecule: long non-coding RNA, 158 nt
Organism: Felis catus (domestic cat)
Lineage: Eukaryota; Metazoa; Chordata; Mammalia; Carnivora; Felidae
Exons: 3
Source: RefSeq, a predicted model, not a curated record